RNAcentral lists this non-coding RNA (27 nucleotides) under Rattus norvegicus (Norway rat). The record is from RNAcentral. Lineage: Eukaryota; Metazoa; Chordata; Mammalia; Rodentia; Muridae.
UGCCAUCUGUGUUGGAGCCUGUAGCGU